Molecule: ribosomal RNA, 405 nt
Filed under: uncultured prokaryote
Description: bacterial SSU rRNA
Rfam family: Bacterial small subunit ribosomal RNA
Source: RNAcentral
UGGGGAAUAUUGGGCAAUGGGGGAAACCCUGACCCAGCAACGCCGCGUGAAGGAAGAAGGCUUUCGGGUUGUAAACUUCUUUGACGAGGGACGAAAUAAAUGACGGUACCUCGAAAACAAGCCACGGCUAACUACGUGCCAGCAGCCGCGGUAAUACGUAGGUGGCAAGCGUUGUCCGGAUUUACUGGGUGUAAAGGGCGCGUAGGCGGGAUUACAAGUCAGAUGUGAAAUGCCAGGGCUUAACCCUGGAGCUGCAUUUGAAACUGUAGUUCUUGAGUAUCGGAGAGGCAGGCGGAAUUCCUAGUGUAGCGGUGAAAUGCGUAGAUAUCAGGAGGAACACCGGUGGCGAAGGCGAUUUCCUGGCCCUAUACUGACGCUGAGACGCGAGAGCGUGGGUAGCAAACA